GAUCAGGAAGUGUGAGGGCGCGGGGCGGGCCGGAGCCGAGGCCGUGCGCCCGCGGGGAGCCCGGGAGCCCGGGGAGGCGCGCGCCGCAGCCUCGCAGCUCCGGGGGCAGCUCCGGGGGCAGCUCCGGGGGCAGCUCCGGGGGCAGCUCGCGGCCCGGGCAUGACAGCGAGUCCUCCCGAGAGCCCGGCAGGUGCGCGGCCCGCGGCCGAGAUGGGCUCAGCUCCUGCAGCGGCCACGGACGCGAAGCACGACCCGCGCUCGCCCCGGACGGCCUCGGCCUGACCACGGCUGCUCGCAGCGCGGGGCCGAAGGUGGCCAGCUGGCCAGGGGCAGGAGAUGCAGAGCACCAUCAAUUACCUAUGGCACACGGACGACCUGCUGGGGCAGGGGGCCACUGCCAGUGUGUACAAGGCCCGAAACAAGAAAUCCGGGGAGCUGGUUGCUGUGAAGGUCUUCAACACGGCAAGCUACCUGCGGCCCCGCGAGGUGCAGGUGAGGGAGUUUGAGGUCCUGCGAAAGCUGAACCACCAGAACAUCGUCAAGCUCUUUGCAGUGGAGGAGACGGGGGGCAGCCGGCAGAAGGUGCUGGUGAUGGAGUACUGCUCUAGCGGGAGCCUGCUCAGCGUGCUCGAGAGCCCUGAGAAUGCCUUCGGGCUGCCCGAGGACGAGUUUCUGGUGGUGCUGCGCUGUGUGGUGGCUGGCAUGAACCACCUGCGGGAGAAUGGCAUCGUCCACCGCGACAUCAAGCCUGGAAACAUCAUGCGCCUCAUGGGGGAGGAAGGGCAGAGCAUCUAUAAGCUGACGGACUUUGGGGCCGCCCGGGAGCUAGAUGAUGAUGAGAAGUUUGUCUCCGUCUAUGGCACUGAGGAGUACCUGCACCCCGACAUGUAUGAGCGGGCAGUGCUUCGCAAGCCCCAGCAGAAGACAUUCGGGGUAACCGUGGAUCUCUGGAGCAUUGGGGUAACCCUGUACCACGCAGCCACUGGCAGCCUGCCCUUCGUCCCCUUUGGUGGGCCACGGCGCAACAAGGAGAUGAUGUACCGGAUCACCACCGAGAAGCCGGCGGGGGCCAUCGCGGGCACCCAGCGGCGGGAGAACGGGCCCCUGGAGUGGAGCUACGGCCUCCCCAUCACCUGCCGGCUGUCCCCGGGGCUGCAGAGCCAGCUGGUGCCCAUCCUGGCCAACAUCCUGGAGGUGGAGCAGGCCAAGUGCUGGGGCUUUGACCAGUUCUUUGCGGAGACCAGUGACAUCCUGCAGCGAGUCGUUGUCCAUGUCUUCUCCUUGUCCCAGGCGGUCCUGCACCACAUCUACAUCCAUGCCCACAAUACGAUAGCCAUCUUCCUGGAGGCAGUAUAUGAGCAGACCAGUGUGGCUCCCCAGCACCAGGAGUACUUCUUUGAGGGUCACCUCUGCGUCCUUGAGCCCAGCCUGUCAGCGCAACACAUCACCCACACGACCGCAAGCAGCCCCCUGACCCUGUUCAGCAAGGCCAGUGAGACCCCCAAGGGGCUGGCCUUCAGGGACCCCGCUCAGGACAUCUCCAAGUUCUUCCCCAAAGUGGACCUGCAGGCAGAUUACACCACCGCCAAGAGUAUACUGGGUGCUGGCUACCAGGCCCUGUGGCUGGCUCGGACCUUGCUGGCCGGGCAGGAGAUGAUGCUUCGGGGACUGCACUGGUUUGUGGAGACGCUCCAGGCUACAUGCAGACGGACGCUGGAGGUCACACGGAUGGCUCUCCUCUUCCUCAGCAGCAGUCUGGGCACCGAGAGGUUCAGCAGUGUGGCUGGGAUGCCUGAGAUGCAGGAGCUGAAGAGGGUCACAGAGCUGAGGUCCAGGCUGCGGGCUUUGGUGGAGGCCCUCUCCAGAUGCUCCCACAAUAUCACAGAGACCCAGGUGAGCCUGAGCAACCUGAGCUCUGAGCUGGUGAAGAACCGGGAUCAGUCCCUGUCUCCUGCCCACAGCAUCCAGCAGAUUCAGUGUUGUUUGGACAAGAUGAACCUCAUCUACAAACAGUUCAAGAAAUCCAGAAUGAGACCAGGGCUUGGCUACAACGAGGAGCAGAUUCACAAGCUGGAUAAUUCGUGUAUGUGCGAGCCUCAUGCCGUCCUUGUCUGGAGAGGCGGCCCUACUGUGGAUCCAAGGGCUGGGCGUUUCGGCGGUGGAGACCCAGGGAUGCUAGCCGUGGGCACAGGGAAGUGCAUGAGACCAGGAACCAUUUGCGCAUGGUCAGCUGUUCUGUGGCUGCCUACAACACAGAAGCCCAGGGAGUCCAGGAGAGCCUCAGCAAGAUCCUCGACUGGUUAUCUCACCAGCGUCUUCAGGACAGAACAAAGGAGGCUCAGGCCUCACCACCCCCCACAGCCCCCUAUCCCAGCCCUGCACUGACAGACCUGGUUCUCCACAUGCAAGAGCUCUGUGAGGAGAUGAAACUGCUGGCCUUUGACCUGCAGGACAACAAUCGCAUCAUUGAAGGGCUAAGUAGGCCCCCAUCGGCUCCUGACUCCUGACAUCUGAGCCCCAUGGGGUGCCCAACAUCCUGAAGCAUUAGAAUCGUUCAAACACUGCUCUCCUGCCUGCAGUGUGGGGCCUAACACAGGAUGAUGUCUGGUCCCGUCUCGUCAGCCUACCUCCCUCCUGGCCAACAACUGGGAGAUGUCACCAGCAUUACCUUCCACUGCCUUUCUGGCAGCAGCAGCACAGCAGGCCCCAGGGCACCAGGCCACCCCUGUCAGGACCCACUGCCUGGGCUGACCUUUGUGCCUCACACAGGCUCAGGUACAUCUCCAUCGCUCCGGCCUGCAUAGCUGAAGCCAGCAGGCCACGGGGAGAAGAGGCUCGGAUCGGCCCGCCCAACCACCUCCUCUGGUUUACAGGGCUUCGAUUCUCAGGGAACAGAAGAGGAGGCCUCUGGGAAUUUCCCUAGGAUGCUGGGUCAGACGACCUCAAUUCAGUCUUCCUUCCUCUUAAGGGGUUUCACGUUGAACAUCCUGUGAUUUCCGGGAGCCCCCACUCUCAGCCUCAGGCAUUAUAGAGCCUGAUUUGUUUGGGGGUUUGGCCUGGGUGCUAGGUAGGGCCUCAAGGAUCCUCACCUUCCUCUCUCCCUGAGGCACUGUCAGGCUCUGGGAUAUGCAUCCAGCUGUGGUCAGCAGGGAGCACAGGCCUGUAAGUCCAGAUCAGAGACCUGUACCCUCAAGAAGUGGAAUAAACAUGGCCUUCUUUUCUA
Molecule: RNA transcript, 3223 nt
Organism: Canis lupus familiaris (dog)
Lineage: Eukaryota; Metazoa; Chordata; Mammalia; Carnivora; Canidae
Gene: IKBKE
Gene name: inhibitor of nuclear factor kappa B kinase subunit epsilon
Exons: 22
Source: RefSeq, a predicted model, not a curated record